CUUCCUUGCACCAGCAGCCUGCUUGUGUCCUCGUGAUGCACGGUGAAGAGAAGGCUGGUGUUCUGUGAGUAAGCCUGCCAGCCGGGAGUAAUGGUUGUGGCCUUUUGGGCAAGCCUGUGAGGAGAGGUGUUUGGGCAGGCUGGUUGUUUUGCAGGGGAAGUGCCGUUUCAGUAGUUUGUUGCCAUGCUUGGGUGGUGCUUGUUUGACAAAUAGUCAUCCUCUAGACGAGCAGUGCUCUGGCGGCAGGGGAGUGAGAAAUGUCAUGUACAGCCAGUCUUCUCCACGAGCCUUACACUGCCUCUCCCCCAGUGUCUGUAAAUGGCUGUAGAAAUGGCAGGGGGAGAAAUGGGGAAGAGGGGAGGUGCAGUUUCUGUGCAUGCUGUGUCCACGGAGCAGGUGUCAGCUCCUAAGAGCUGGGAGCCCUGCAGAGCGUCCUGGGUUUGUUUUGCUUCCUUGUUGGAGCUGUUGGGAUGCUUUUGUGGGUGCUUUGUGCGUUUGAAGUCCCUGUGAACUCUGCUGAGACCAGUGGUGUCCUAGGGAGAGCCCCGCUGCCCCCUUUUUGUUGGGGCUGUUUUCUUCCCUCUGGAGGUUAAAAGGGCCUUCAGAAACCCAGCAGUACGACUUGCUGCUGCUCCAGCCUGUCAAGUGGAGAUGAUGAAGUGUGACGGCCAUUGGGGCAGGGAGGAAAGCAGCUAAGAAAUGGUGUUCCCGUAGACUGUGUGGAGCUUGUUGUUGUGAAACGGUCCCUUGUGCUGCCAGAAUCUCUCUGCCUUUCAGUCAUGGCCUCUUCCUCCUGGCUUUCAAGAUGUUCAGAGGCAUUGCUAAGAAAGAAAGAGCAGAGCUCUUCCUAGGCCAUGGCAGAGUUCACCUUUCCAGGUGUAUGCCAGAGCAUGAAGCAUGGUCAACAAGCACGGGGUAGCAGCAGCUGGAAACAGGGGAAGCUUCCACAGAGCCCCCCGCUGGAGUCCCAGGGUGAUGAGCUGAAGCUGAUUUGGGCAGCAUGAAACCCGGUGGUUUUCCGGGAUCUGUGCCGUAUAGGGCUCAGGGCUGUCACUGGGGUUGCUUUCACAGGAC
This 1074-nucleotide long non-coding RNA is filed under the name Gallus gallus (chicken). RNAcentral describes it as "lncRNA (ENSGALG00010028643.1)". The record is from RNAcentral. Lineage: Eukaryota; Metazoa; Chordata; Aves; Galliformes; Phasianidae.